This 539-nucleotide ribosomal RNA is filed under the name uncultured bacterium. Its description in RNAcentral is "bacterial SSU rRNA". It matches the Rfam family "Bacterial small subunit ribosomal RNA", at positions 9 to 527 of the family's 1533-position model. The record is from RNAcentral.
GAGUUUGAUCCUGGCUCAGAAUGAACGCUGGCGGCGUGCUUAACACAUGCAAGUCGUGCGCGAAAGCGACUUCGGUCGCGUGUAGAGCGGCGAACGGGUGAGUAACACGUGGACAACCUGCCCAAGAGUUGGGGAUAACCUGGGGAAACUCGGGCUAAUACCGAAUACGUUCGUGAGGCUUCGGCCUUGCGCAGAAAGGUGGCCUAUGCUUGCAAGCCACCGCUCCUGGAGGGGUCCGCGUCUGAUUAGCUAGUUGGCGGGGUUAUGGCCCACCAAGGCGACGAUCAGUAGCCGGCCUGAGAGGGUGAUCGGCCACACUGGAACUGAGACACGGUCCAGACUCCUACGGGAGGCAGCAGUGGGGAAUAUUGGACAAUGGGGGAAACCCUGAUCCAGCAACGCCGCGUGGAGGAUGAAGGUCUUCGGAUUGUAAACUCCUGUUAGGGGGGACGAAGGGAUGUCGGCAAACAGUCGGCAAACUUGACGGUACCCCCAGAGGAAGCCCCGGCUAACUCUGUGCCAGCAGCCGCGGUAAUUCC